UUUGCCUACGGGGCGCAGCAGUAGGGAAUAUUGGGCAAUGGGCGCAAGCCUGACCCAGCAACGCCGCGUGAAGGAAGAAGGCUUUCGGGUUGUAAACUUCUUUUAAGAGGGAAGAGCAGAAGACGGUACCUCUUGAAUAAGCCACGGCUAACUACGUGCCAGCAGCCGCGGUAAUACGUAGGUGGCAAGCGUUGUCCGGAUUUACUGGGUGUAAAGGGCGUGCAGCCGGGAAGACAAGUCAGAUGUGAAAUCCUGCGGCUUAACCGCAGAACUGCAUUUGAAACUGUUGAUCUUGAGUACUGGAG
Molecule: ribosomal RNA, 305 nt
Filed under: uncultured bacterium
Lineage: Bacteria
Description: bacterial SSU rRNA
Rfam family: Bacterial small subunit ribosomal RNA
Source: RNAcentral